Molecule: unclassified non-coding RNA, 310 nt
Filed under: plant metagenome
Description: partial contains 5.8S ribosomal RNA, internal transcribed spacer 2, and large subunit ribosomal RNA
Rfam family: 5.8S ribosomal RNA (bases 1-105)
Source: RNAcentral
GAAAUGCGAUAAGUAGUGUGAAUUGCAGAAUUCAGUGAAUCAUCGAAUCUUUGAACGCAUAUUGCGCCCCUUGGUAUUCCGUGGGGCAUGCCUGUUCGAGCGUCAUUUGUACCCUCAAGCUCUGCUUGGUGUUGGGUGUUUGUCCCCGUCUCCGCGCGUGGACUCGCCCCAAAGUGAUUGGCAGCCGGCGUACUGGUCCCGGAGCGCAGCACAUGUCGCGCAAACGAGUGCCUUGGUACGGCGGCGUCCAUAAGCCCCUCUCUCACGCUCUUGACCUCGGAUCAGGUAGGGAUACCCGCUGAACUUAAGC